CUAUAUGAAUAGAAUUAACUGUCCUAAUUACUUUGAUUAAGUAUAAAAUUAUGUCCUAGGAAAAAUUAAUAUGUCAGUCUGAUUGACUUUUAAGGUAUACAUCUAACAGCAUAACCACCAUCCCGUGGCCUUCCUCCUUAAGGCAAGAACAGCACCCAAAAUUGAAACAUGAGAGUGGUGUUAGCAAGUCACCACUAUUUGUAGGAAAUCCAUCCAUUUCACUAUCGAUAACAGAAGCCCAUUGACAGUCAGCAGCUCCCAUCUGAACAAGCAAAAUCUUUUUUUUACUUUUAGUGCAUGGAUCC
This 305-nucleotide long non-coding RNA is filed under the name Elaeis guineensis (African oil palm). RNAcentral describes it as "long non-coding RNA (EGUI_LNC056188)". Lineage: Eukaryota; Viridiplantae; Streptophyta; Magnoliopsida; Arecales; Arecaceae. The record is from RNAcentral.